RNAcentral lists this non-coding RNA (27 nucleotides) under Mus musculus (house mouse). The record is from RNAcentral. Lineage: Eukaryota; Metazoa; Chordata; Mammalia; Rodentia; Muridae.
UAUUGCACAACAGCUGUUUUUAACUCC